Molecule: long non-coding RNA, 629 nt
Organism: Salvia splendens (bonfire salvia)
Lineage: Eukaryota; Viridiplantae; Streptophyta; Magnoliopsida; Lamiales; Lamiaceae
Exons: 4
Source: RefSeq, a predicted model, not a curated record
CAUGACUCCUGUCUAAGCAAAAACACACUUGAAGUUUCUCUCUCUAAACUUGGUAGUAUUUCUCUCUACAAACUUGUGUAAAUUGUUGAAUAUGUCUUGAGCACUCACCCUCUCCUCUAAAUGGGGUGGCUGCAAUCCCUCCUCUCUCCCUUCAAGAAGCUGGGGAUUCGUCUAAAUGCUGCUAAGAAGAAGAGUAGAGGGAUGUACAUUUUGUACGAGGAUGUGAAAUUGUGCCCUUACGAAGAUGUCCAUGUGCUUUGGUCCAUAUUGGUGGAGUCACAUCGGCCACCGUUGCCACUGCCACUGCCACUGCCGCCGCCUCCCAAAUGACGUACGCUUCCCCAUUUAGCAAGAAAAGCUAUGACACGACGGGAAGAAACCAAAGAGACAUACAUACAUAUAGAGUAUCACCUUUAGUAGGGUUGUCAAAUCGGGUACCCGAGGAUACCCGAUCCGAAAAUUUCGGGUACCCGAUCCCGAUUUUCUGAAAAAACGAUACUCGAUACCCAAUUCGAAACUGAAAUCGGAUAGCCGAAUACCCGACUCGGGUAUCUAGCCACGAAAAAUCAGAUGAGAGGAAGGCCUACUUUGCGGAACGGCAGGAGUUGGCGCGCAAGGACGUGGAUCGC